Crotalus tigris (Tiger rattlesnake) is the source of this 6846-nucleotide long non-coding RNA. RefSeq lists it as uncharacterized. The transcript has 3 exons. NCBI's taxonomy places the organism in Eukaryota, Metazoa, Chordata, Lepidosauria, Squamata, Viperidae. The record is from RefSeq and is a predicted model, not a curated record.
GAUUAGUCUUCAAAUAUCGAAAAGGAGGACAUGUAGGAGGACACUUUUCGAGGGAGGACAGAACUCACAAAAGGAGGACUGUCUUCCCUAAAGGAGGACAGUUGGUCACCUUAGUUGAUAGGGCACAAAAAGUCUAGCCACAUCUUCUCCUUUAUGGGGUGCUACAGAGCUCAGCACACUCUAUUCUUCUUUAACAUCUACAUGAAGCCUCUGGUGAGAUCAUAUGACACCACAGGAUGAGGUGUCUUAAGGUAAACUAAUGUUACUCAAGUAUACAUCUCCAUCCUGGAUGACCCAAGUAUUGCUGUGGCUGCCCUCUCAUGGUACCUGGAGGCUGUGGGGAUCUGGAUAGAGGACAACAGACCUCAGCUGAACCCUAGUAAGACAAAGUGGUUGUGGGUGCCUGGAACCUCAAGAUCUGGGAGCUCGUUUUUAGUUUUGGAUUGUUAUACUAUUCCUGAGAGACUCAGUGUGGAAUGGACUCACAAUUCCUGCUCUGAGCAUAUAACACUUGUGACUAGGAGUGCCAAAGUUGUUCACCAGUUGCACUCUCUCCUGGAUUGUGAGGCCCUGCUCUCAAUCACUCAUGCCCUGGUCAUCUCUCUAAGAGCACACAUAACAGUGCCAUUAUGCAAACUCCAUUGAUAUCAACUUUGUUUCCAAGUCCAAUUCAAGGAGGUUGGUUAUCAUUAUCUUUAAAGCCCUUCAUGGCACAGGACCAGGUAUUCUGAGGAACCAUCUCACUCCAAUGCUGUUGGUCUGACCCACUUGAUCCAGCAGGAGGGGCAUGCUGUGGACCCCAUUGAUCAAAGAAUUUCAGCUGAUGAGGUCUAGAAGGAGAGUUUUUUCUGUCGUGGCCCCUGCUUUUUGGAAUAUCUUGCACUUUGAGGUGAGGGUUUUUUGGCCUCCUGGAAGGUUGUUUAAACCUGGGGCUGCAGGUUGGCCUAGGGUCCAGACAGAGGUGCUGUAGGUUGGAGAUGGGUGGUGGAUCAACAGGGAAGAUACUACCACCCUAUCAAUCUUGCCUUUUGCUUCUUGUCUCUGUAUCUAAUGUUCUUUAAAUUUUAGUAUCUUUUUAUUUAUGAUUUUAGUUGUAAGCCACUCAAGAGUUCUUUUUAGCAUGAGAUGGGUGGUAUAUAACUUUAAUAAAUAAAUAAAAAUAAAUUAAUUAAAUCCAAACCAGCUGGAGGUGCUAUUUAAUAAGGAGAAAGCUGGACUCAGAGAUGGUGAUGAAGCUAGUUUUGAAUGCGGCUAUACUGCCUCAGAAAAAGCAGGUUCACAAUUUGGGAAUGGUCCUUGUUCCCCCAGCUGUCACUGGAGUUGCACAUAACUGUGUCAAAAUAUUUGCACAAUGGUGGCUACUGAACCAGAUGUGAUACUUUUGAGUUGAUUGAAUUUGGCAACACUUACUUGGCUAUAACCUAUUUUAAAGAUCACAAUAUAUCCUACGCAUUGAAAGGAUUAUGGACAUUGCAAUUAGAGCAAAACAUGAUGACCAAGUUGCUACUCAGUGCAAGAUGUAAUACGUGACAUUCAUAUUAAAUAAUUGCACAGGCUGCAAAUUGAUUACUGGAUACAAUUUAAGACGUUGACCUUUAAAGUCUAAAUGGUUUGGGGUCUAUUCAUUUGAGGAAACAAUCAAUUUCAUCUACUAUGAACAUGCCUGAUUACUUAGAUCUGCAGAUCUUCUCUUCUGAAGAGAACCCUGUUGCCAAAAGCUCAGCUAUCUGGUACAUGAGAGCAUUUCUUCUGUAUAACUUCCAGGCUGUAGAGCAGGGGGUCUUCAAACUUGGCCCUUUUAUGACUUGUGGACUUCAGUUCCCAGAAUUCCUCAGCCAGCAUGGUUGGCUGAGGAAUUCUGGGAGUUGAAGUCCAUAAGUCAUAAAAGGGUCAAGUUUGAAGACCCCUGCCAUAGAGAAUCUCUUCCCCAGUGAGGUACAUUAGGCCCCCAUUCUCCCAGUAUUUAGGAAAAUGGCACAAAUCUCUCCGUUGCCGACUUUUCAAAUUGUUAAAUUGUUUUAAUCACAAUUUUAAUACUGAUUUGAUUAUACUGUUCUUUUACAAUUUAUGCUUCUUUACCAGCUAUUUUGAAGAGAACAUUGGGGCAGAUGGUGGCCUCUUUCCUCACUACCCAUCCCCAUAUAAUUCAGCCUGCAGAAAUAUAGUAAAUCCCGGUACUUACUCUCAGGAAAGUAAAUAUAAUGUUGCAGUUUCAGAUAUGAGUGUUUAUUGGGUGUGUGUGCGUGAAAGAAAUUAAAUGGCUACACACACAACAGAAUGAUGUAAUGGUGCAUGUUAUGUAAUGAUGUUGUUUAUGUAAUGAUAAUAUGGCAUAUGUCAGCAUUUUGACAUUAUCAUGGCUUUUUAACCAACAGGGCCGGGGCUUUGUUUACACAGGCUUUGGGGAGGGGGGAAAUAAUUGCAAGCAUUUACCUAGCUGGAUUUUUAUAGAAUGCCUCAAAAGGGGUGUGAGUAAAAAUGAUAUUAAGUGCCCCAAAGCAUUUGAACUUGCAAGGACCUGCAGGAUUUCAUUUCAUCUUUAUCUUGGGCUUCUCAUCUUCUUACAGCAGACCAUUUGGCAAUGCAAACCUCUUUUUGGAUCCUCACUGCUUUUUUGGAGGAUAUUACAGAAGCACAGCACAGCCCCAAUCCCAGCAUCAUUAAGAUUUUCAGCAAUGCAGACUGAGUAUUGCAUAAAAAUGUGCACAAGAAGCAUCGCUCUUUGCCAAAUGCUACAGCAUUGCUAUAAGCUGCAGUAACCAUCAGAGGGCCUCCUGCUCUUUCUAUGCUGACCAGGCUAUCAUAGUGUUGCUUGCUGGGAAGCAGGACAUAGAAUUAUGUAAUUUGAGAGCAAAGGCUACUUUCCACAUGGCUUGGAGUGCCUGCUAAUAUGGAAUGCCAUCUGGUACAGGCUUCUGAAUAAAUCUUUCUUUGCAGCUCUGUCAGUUCCAGUUUAUUUUUUUAAAAUGUAUUUUUAUUAGUUUUAAUUAUAUAAGACUGCUAGUGCAAUAAAAAAAAAUAACUUUGACCUGGAUACCACAAACCUCCAUUUUGCUGAAAUACAUGACAAUCAAACAGCACUAAUACAGUACAUAUCCAGAGACAGAAUUCGAAUUACUCAUUAGACCUGAUCAAUAGGGAAGAGCAGAGGUUGGAAUGGAAUUUACUGGCACACUGAUGGAGAGCAGGAAAUAUUUCAGGGUCUUACCCAUUGAGCAAUAGCAUCCACAGAAAUUCCACCCACCAAUUCUCAGUUAGAAGGUUGGAAAGGCUAUUUUGAUGUAAAUCAGAGACUUAUAUCUGUUUCUGUAGAUCAGGUGGAGUUCAAAAUUUACAAAAGGCAAUUGAUUCUGCCAGCUGCUGUUUUGCAUAUAUUGGUGGAUUUCAAAUUCUAGCAGCUGUUUUAAAAAAGACUAAACUGCAUUCAUAAAUUGUACUCAUGCCUAAUGUAUAUUUUCUAUGUGUACCUGCUGGGGAUGAUGGAACUUAUUUAUGCCAAAUGUUUUCCUUUUCACAACAAAACUUCAAUAUUCUAAUUGACCUAAUUUAUCUUCAGAGAGCUUUUAUAUAAUUGAAAUACAGAUAAGGUGAAGCAUUGAAUGACUGCUAUUUCUCUUUUGACAGUUCUAAAUUGAUUCAGUUGUAUUUUUAAUUUGACAUCUAUGUAUUCUUUUUUUCUACCAUUUGAUUCCAAACUUUCUGACAUUUUCUGAGAAGAUAUAGCCACAGGUAAAGAUUGUGAGGUAAUUAUUUCUUGCCCAAUUUACUGUGCCUUGUUCUACCCCAUUAAUCAAACCAACAAAUGGUGCCCGCUCUUAUUGAUUUAACAGGAGGUUAGUGAAGGAAAGCUCUCUGAGGAUUUUUCCAGUUUCUUCUACCUGUUGUGUUGCAGAAAGAAGUGCAACAGGUCUCAGCUCUAAUCUGUCAGCUGUAUCAUUUCUGAGCAAAGACCCAUCAUAUCAGGAAGAGUAUUAAAUCCAUGUUCAAAAGUAAUCCCGCCAAUAGGUUGUAGGUGAGGAGGAAGGCAUGUCUGGAAUAAAAGCAUCAUGAGAAUUUUCCACCCACCCCCAUUUCAUCCCACACUGUUGUGCCAUGUCUAUCACCUGUUGGCCAACCUCUCUAGUUCCUUUGCAGUGAUUUCCUUAGUGCUAUUUCUCUUCCAUUACUGUUAUAACCAAUGUCAAAUGCAGUGUGGCAAAUCUUUGCUCCCAUGAUAACAUGUAUUGUUCCAUGGGACUUCAGUUCAACUGCACAGUUCCCCACUGUGAACAGAACUGCUAGGGUGAGGUAGUACUUGUGGGAGGAAAACACAAUGGUGGCUCAUAUUCCUGUCACUGGGUGGUAUCUUGGUCACCAGCACACUUCUCAGUCAGCCUUGACAUACAACAAAAAAAUCAGGAAGUUGUGGAAGGGAGGGUGUGUAAAUAUUCUUGAUCAGGUGCUAAGCAAAUUCAAGAAGCUACAAAUGUAUUUAUUUCAACUACAAGAUGGGCAUGAUGGCAGGCCAUAAAUCUAGCACUGCCCUCCUCUCCUUUGGCAACAGGAAGACAGGUUGAGGGGCCAGUGGCAAACCGAGCAGGAUGAUCAACACCUGUUACGUAUGGAGAGAUUGCUCCUAGGUAUCUUUCAGCCUAUUAAGAUCUAACAGUACAUGGGUUUGUGAUGCAGAUAUUAAAGAACAGGAAUUUUACUGUACUUGUUGCUUGUGAAACCUGAAAAAAAUAAUUCACACACAUCAGUACAAAAGCAUUCCGGAUAUGUGGCUGUCACUUCCUUAGGUUGCAACUCCAUGUCUUUUCUGCAGGGUCCUCUGGAUGGAUUCAGCAAGUAAAAAUAGCAGGAGCUUGAGGGAUAUUUAGACAGCUUUGAGAUGAUGCAGCAGACCCAGGAUUGACUCCACUGAAGGUUCACGUUGCUUCUAGGUCAAACUUCAGGCUCCACAUAGUCCAAAACAAGAAACCCUUUGUUGUUCUCACCUGAACCAGCUGAUGAUCCAAAAAAGACCAACAAGCAAAGUACUUCUGCUUGAAGCAAGCCAGUUGAAAGUGAAGGAGAUAAUUUCCCCACUACCCAAAUUACAAAUGAAGGCCAUACAAUCUGCUUGAGCCAAGUUUACUUGAACAGCACUGGGGAUAAACUACAAGGUUCUGCUCACUCAAGGAGGAUAAAUCUUUAUAUAGUUGUAUAAUAAAUGCUGACCAGUAAUAAUAUCUAAGACCAAUCACAACAUGGGUUAGAGUUUCUGUUAAUAGCGAGAUAAGCAGAAUAAUAAAGUCAGUUUUUGUGUUAGUUACUUUCUAGUUUCCAUCUAAAAAUAUAAGUGCUGAUUUAAACUAAUUUGUGAGUCAGCAUCUGUAAAUGCUAAGCCUAAAAAGCUAUUAAGUAGGCUUUCUUGAGUUAAGGGCAUUUGGAGGUUUUAGUCCAGGUAUUUAGUUUAUUCCUUCAGUCCCCCACCCUUUGGAACUAAAUCUGGAACCCAUUCAGAAGAAGAUGCAGGACUUGCUGGUAAUUGCAAUUGAUUGAUUCACAUCAGCCAAAGCCACAUUAUAUAUGGAAGCAGGUGCUGAGUCUUAGAGGGCCAGUGGUGGGUUUGGGCCUUGGCAUGUACAGCUAUAUAAUCUGUACAAACUAUCAAUUCCAUGUCCAUCUGGGGCUGCAAGAGGAGAAGAGAGUUUGUCUCCUCCUUUUCAAGAGUUCCACUACAGGGACCACUUGCAUCUUCAAAGUUGCAGACAAUGGCUUCUGCCAAGGAGUGGGAGAGCCAUAGCAGCAUCAGGCAAUGUUCCUACAAGCCCCUCAAGAGCAAGAUGACAAUUGCGCUCUACCGGGCAUAGUAAAAGAACACAUUCACCAAUAUUUUUUACCGGGGGGGGAGGGGUAAUCUCUGUUUUAGACAGGCAUCCUCUGUGUCUUGUGCCAUAUAACCAUUAAUCCUCUUUUGGCCCCACUGAGGCUGCAAAUAUACCAAGCAUUGACCGCAGUGGGUCCACACUCUAGCCAGAAUCCUUUAAGAGAGAGGUCUGUCUUUGAAUUGUAUCACAGAAAAAAUAUGGAUAACAAAAGCAGAAGCAGCAUUGGUUUGCUUACUCCAUCCCAACAUCUCUGGUGAAGAAAGCUACCAGCAUCUCGGAGCUCCUCUGCCAACUCCAGAGAAUCCCAAGUGAGGGGUAUCAAUCCUCAGAAAUAGAAUGUUCCACUGAAGACUCUGAUGAACUCUGGAGGCUGCCCAGAAAGAAAGACUGCCUCAAAUCCUCCCACCCACUUUUCCCUAUCUUCCCCCACAUAUAUAAAAAUGGAAGUGUGUGUGUGUGUGUGUGAGUCUGUGUGUAUAUAAAAAUAACCUGCCCUGUCAUUCACUUCAAACCAUUUAUCCACCCAACAGAAACUCACCUAUUCUUGAUCUGGGUAGUAGGGAACACACAGUGUAGUAUACUCCCUUUGGCACAGAUCACUAUGGGACUUUGUCUCAAUCCAGUCCUGUUUUUUUGGUGUCACAGUAUCAUAUCCUUUAUAAUGAAGUACAAACCCAAAAUGUAUGCAAAUCUACCCACACGCAGAGUCCUUCUGACAGGGUCCUUGGAUUUUGGCAUAGAGAGUCCCUUUAAUGUUUAUUAUACUAUAUAUCUAGGAAAGUCCAAGAAAAAAAAGCAUUUUAAUCAUUAGUAUUGUCAAAGAAUAGUGCAAUUAUAUCAAACACUGUUUCCCUUUCAUGAUGUGUCAUAAUUAAGGUGACCAACCAUCCUCCUUUAGGGAGGACAGUCUUCCUUUUGUAAGUUCUGUCCUCCCUCAAAAAGUGUUCUCCUUCAUGUCCUCCUUUUCGAUAUCUGAAGACUAAUCUGCAGGGCU